UACGUAGGGUGCAAGCGUUGUCCGGAAUUAUUGGGCGUAAAGAGCUCGUAGGCGGUUUGUCGCGUCUGCUGUGAAAUCCGGAGGCUCAACCUCCGGCCUGCAGUGGGUACGGGCAGACUAGAGUGCGGUAGGGGAGAUUGGAAUUCCUGGUGUAGCGGUGAAAUGCGCAGAUAUCAGGAGGAACACCGGUGGCGAAGGCGGGUCUCUGGGCCGAUACUGACGCUGAGGAGCGAAAGCGUGGGGAGCGAACAGG
This 253-nucleotide ribosomal RNA is filed under the name uncultured bacterium. Its description in RNAcentral is "partial 16S ribosomal RNA". It matches the Rfam family "Bacterial small subunit ribosomal RNA", at positions 524 to 776 of the family's 1533-position model. The record is from RNAcentral.